RNAcentral lists this ribosomal RNA (497 nucleotides) under uncultured bacterium. RNAcentral describes it as "partial 16S ribosomal RNA". It matches the Rfam family "Bacterial small subunit ribosomal RNA", at positions 28 to 507 of the family's 1533-position model. The record is from RNAcentral.
GAUGAACGCUGGCGGCGUGCCUAAUACAUGCAAGUCGAGCGAACAGACGAGGAGCUUGCUCCUCUGACGUUAGCGGCGGACGGGUGAGUAACAUGUGGAUAACCUACCUAUAAGACUGGGAUAACUUCGGGAAACCGGAGCUAAUACCGGAUAAUAUAUUGAACCGCAUGGUUCAAUAGUGAAGGACGGUUUUGCUGUCACUUAUAGAUGGAUCCGCGCCGCAUUAGCUAGUUGGUAAGGUAACGGCUUACCAAGGCAACGAUGCGUAGCCGACCUGAGAGGGUGAUCGGCCACACUGGAACUGAGACACGGUCCAGACUCCUACGGGAGGCAGCAGUAGGGAAUCUUCCGCAAUGGGCGAAAGCCUGACGGAGCAACGCCGCGUGAGUGAUGAAGGUCUUCGGAUCGUAAAACUCUGUUAUUAGGGAAGAACAAAUGUGUAAGUAACUAUGCACGUCUUGACGGUACCUAAUCAGAAAGCCACGGCUAACUACGUG